Non-coding RNA from Tribolium castaneum (red flour beetle), 79 nucleotides. The record is from RefSeq and is marked provisional. NCBI's taxonomy places the organism in Eukaryota, Metazoa, Arthropoda, Insecta, Coleoptera, Tenebrionidae.
AGUGAUGUGGGGCGACAUAGGCAUGGUUUGAGUUUGUUUAAUAAACUUGAAACCUCCUACUAUGUCGCAGAAUAAUUAG